RNAcentral lists this ribosomal RNA (514 nucleotides) under uncultured bacterium. Its description in RNAcentral is "bacterial SSU rRNA". It matches the Rfam family "Bacterial small subunit ribosomal RNA", at positions 15 to 518 of the family's 1533-position model. The record is from RNAcentral.
GAUCCUGGCUUAGGAUGAACGCUAGCUACAGGCUUAACACAUGCAAGUCGAGGGGCAGCAUGAAGUUUGCUUGCAAACUUGAUGGCGACCGGCGCACGGGUGAGUAACGCGUAUCCAACCUUCCCCUUAGUAGAGGAUAGCCCGGCGAAAGUCGGAUUAAUACUCUAUGUUGUAUUUUUGAGGACAUCUGACGAAUACCAAAGAUUUAUCGCUAAGGGAUGGGGAUGCGUCUGAUUAGCUUGUUGGCGGGUAACGGCCCACCAAGGCGACGAUCAGUAGGGGUUCUGAGAGGAAGGUCCCCCACAUUGGUACUGAGACACGGACCAAACUCCUACGGGAGGCAGCAGUGAGGAAUAUUGGUCAAUGGGCGAGAGCCUGAACCAGCCAAGUAGCGUGCAAGGAAGACUGCCCUAUGGGUUGUAAACUGCUUUUAUCAGGGAAUAAAGUUCGGCACGUGUGCUGUUUUGUAUGUACCUGAUGAAUAAGGACCGGCUAAUUCCGUGCCAGCCGCCGC